RNAcentral lists this ribosomal RNA (495 nucleotides) under uncultured bacterium. RNAcentral describes it as "partial 16S ribosomal RNA". It matches the Rfam family "Bacterial small subunit ribosomal RNA", at positions 28 to 505 of the family's 1533-position model. The record is from RNAcentral.
GAUGAACGCUGGCGGCGUGCCUAAUACAUGCAAGUCGAGCGAACAGACGAGGAGCUUGCUCCUCUGACGUUAGCGGCGGACGGGUGAGUAACACGUGGAUAACCUACCUAUAAGACUGGGAUAACUUCGGGAAACCGGAGCUAAUACCGGAUAAUAUAUUGAACCGCAUGGUUCAAUAGUGAAAGACGGUUUUGCUGUCACUUAUAGAUGGAUCCGCGCCGCAUUAGCUAGUUGGUAAGGUAACGGCUUACCAAGGCAACGAUGCGUAGCCGACCUGAGAGGGUGAUCGGCCACACGGGAACUGAGACACUGUCCAGACUCCUACGGGAGGCAGCAGUAGGGAAUCUGCCGCAAGGGGCGAAAGCCGGACGGAGCAACGCCGCGUGAGUGAUGAAGGUCUUCGGAUCGUAAAACUCUGUUAUGAGGGAAAAACAAAUGUGUAAGUAACUAGGCACGUUGAGACGGUCCCAAAUCAGAAAGCCACGGCUAACUACG